Molecule: long non-coding RNA, 715 nt
Filed under: Helianthus annuus (common sunflower)
Lineage: Eukaryota; Viridiplantae; Streptophyta; Magnoliopsida; Asterales; Asteraceae
Source: RNAcentral
UUAUAAACCGCCCCCAGGAUUUUCCUCUUUUCCCUGAGAAGCAGAUGAUCAGUCAUCCCUUUUAUGAACCUGCGAGAAAUGCUCGAUGAUCAUAAUUGGGUUUAAAACCUCUCGUAUCAUUGCAGCAUCAGCGUACCCAAAACCCCAAUACAAAAAAACUAAUCUCUGAAUAUUUCGCAAAAUCCAUUCGUCUUCUUCAGCCUCUCUUCCUUUCUUCUUGCCAUUCAUCCACCCGAUAGCUGAUGGAACUCUAACCGAUCUCGCAAAUCCCGAUUCUAAAAGGGUCAUUUUCUUCCCUCUUUUCCUAUUUCAUGCUGUUGUUGCGCGAGGAAGAUUCUCGCUACUCGCUCCAUCAGUUCCCCAUGGCCGUGAGUGGGCACCAUGCCAUUCAGUUGUUGCCACACCUUUGCUUAUUGCAUUUGAACUUGUUCUUUGUAUCUUUCUAGAGAAUAGCUAUUAUACAUUGUUUCUAAGCCUCCACCUGUAAGCUUGCAAAUUGUCUUCCUUCCUCUGUUGGCAUUUGAAGUAGCCAUUCUUGUUGACAACUUCAUGUGAUUAUUUUUGAGUUUUAUGAAUGUAAUUGUCUUUGAAGAAUUUGUAAAAAAAAUACAAGUUGCAGAUUCUGGACGAGAAUGCAUGUAAUACUUGUAGAUAAAUUCCUAAUUACCAUAUUUGACUUUUGUUUUAUAGCUGCAUUUUCAUGUUUUACUUGAAU